GACGAGGGGUCCAAGCGUUGUUCGGAAUCAUUGGGCGUAAAGCGGGUGUAGGUGGCUUUGUAAGUCAGGAGUGAAAUCCCCGAGCUUAACUUGGGAAGUGCUUUUGAAACUACAGGGCUUGAGUGUGGGAGAGGAUCGUGGAAUUCCAGGUGUAGUGGUGAAAUACGUAGAUAUCUGGAGGAACACCGGUGGCGAAGGCGGCGAUCUGGCCCAACACUGACACUGAGACCCGAAAGCGUGGGGAUCAAACAGG
Molecule: ribosomal RNA, 253 nt
Filed under: uncultured bacterium
Lineage: Bacteria
Description: partial 16S ribosomal RNA
Rfam family: Bacterial small subunit ribosomal RNA
Source: RNAcentral